Molecule: ribosomal RNA, 255 nt
Filed under: uncultured bacterium
Lineage: Bacteria
Description: partial 16S ribosomal RNA
Rfam family: Bacterial small subunit ribosomal RNA
Source: RNAcentral
ACGGGUGAGUAACGCGUGGGUAACCUGCCUUAUACAGGGGGAGUAACAGUCAGAAAUGGCUGCUAAUACCGCAUAAGCGCACAGAGCUGCAUGGCUCAGUGUGAAAAACUACCGGUGGUAUAAGAUGGACCCGCGUCUGAUUAGCUGGUUGGCGGGGUAACGGCCCACCAAGGCGACGAUCAGUAGCCGGACUGAGAGAGUGAACGGCCACAUUGGGACUGAGACACGGCCCAAACUCCUACGGGAGGCAGCAUG